AGUGAACGCUGGCGGUAGGCCUAGCACAUGCAAGUCGAACGGCAGCACAGUAAGAGCUUGCUCUUACGGGUGGCGAGUGGCGGACGGGUGAGGAAUACAUCGGAAUCUACUUUUUCGUGGGGGAUAACGUAGGGAAACUUACGCUAAUACCGCAUACGACCUACGGGUGAAAGCAGGGGAUCUUCGGACCUUGCGCGAUUGAAUGAGCCGAUGUCGGAUUAGCUAGUUGGCGGGGUAAAGGCCCACCAAGGCGACGAUCCGUAGCUGGUCUGAGAGGAUGAUCAGCCACACUGGAACUGAGACACGGUCCAGACUCCUACGGGAGGCAGCAGUGGGGAAUAUUGGACAAUGGGCGCAAGCCUGAUCCAGCCAUGCCGCGUGGGUGAAGAAGGCCUUCGGGUUGUAAAGCCCUUUUGUUAGGAAAGAAAAGCAGCAGGUUAAUACCCCGCUGUUCUGACGGUACCCAAAGAAUAAGCACCGGCUAACUUCGUG
This 492-nucleotide ribosomal RNA is filed under the name uncultured bacterium. RNAcentral's name for it is "partial 16S ribosomal RNA". It matches the Rfam family "Bacterial small subunit ribosomal RNA", at positions 29 to 507 of the family's 1533-position model. The record is from RNAcentral.